AACAGAAAUCAACCGAGAUUCCGGAAGUAGCGGCGAGCGAAACCGGACCAGCCCUUAAGCUUAUUAUGUGUUAGUGGAACAUUCUGGAAAGUUUGACGAUACAGGGUGAUAGUCCCGUACACGAAAACGCAUCUUAAGUGAAAUCGAGUAGGUCGGAGCACGUGAAACUUUGACUGAAUAUAGGUGGACCAUCAUCUAAGGCUAAAUACUCCCAACUGACCGAUAGUGAACCAGUACCGUGAGGGAAAGGCGAAA
Molecule: ribosomal RNA, 255 nt
Filed under: Pseudoalteromonas shioyasakiensis
Lineage: Bacteria; Pseudomonadati; Pseudomonadota; Gammaproteobacteria; Alteromonadales; Pseudoalteromonadaceae
Description: partial 23S ribosomal RNA
Rfam family: Bacterial large subunit ribosomal RNA
Source: RNAcentral